GAACGCUACUUGAGGAAAUGCUUGGCGAGGGUGGGCGGUUGCUGCUGUGCUUUGGUGCUCCAUCCUGCACGAUGUGAAACGGAUCCGCUCCUUCAGGUGAAGAGGGCAGCAGCUGCACACAGGAAUCUAAUAAGCCGUAGUCGUGGUUGAGCGAAGCAGUGCAUUUAUUC
Long non-coding RNA from Etheostoma cragini (Arkansas darter), 170 nucleotides. RefSeq lists it as uncharacterized. The transcript has 3 exons. The record is from RefSeq and is a predicted model, not a curated record. Lineage: Eukaryota; Metazoa; Chordata; Actinopteri; Perciformes; Percidae.